AACGAACGCUGGCGGCAUGCCUAACACAUGCAAGUCGAACGAGACCUCCGGGUCUAGUGGCGCACGGGUGCGUAACGCGUGGGAACCUGCCCUUAGGUUCGGAAUAACUCCCCGAAAGGGGUGCUAAUACCGGAUAAUGUCUUCGGACCAAAGAUUUAUCGCCUUUGGAUGGGCCCGCGUUGGAUUAGCUAGUUGGUAGGGUAAAAGCCUACCAAGGCGACGAUCCAUAGCUGGUCUGAGAGGAUGAUCAGCCACACUGGGACUGAGACACGGCCCAGACUCCUACGCGAGGCAGCAGUGGGGAAUAUUGGACAAUGGGCGAAAGCCUGAUCCAGCAAUGCCGCGUGAGUGAUGAAGGUCUUAGGGUUGUAAAGCUCUUUUACCCGGGAUGAUAAUGACAGUACCGGGAGAAUAAGCUCCGGCUAACUCCGUG
This 433-nucleotide ribosomal RNA is filed under the name uncultured bacterium. RNAcentral describes it as "partial 16S ribosomal RNA". It matches the Rfam family "Bacterial small subunit ribosomal RNA", at positions 29 to 507 of the family's 1533-position model. The record is from RNAcentral.